GAAUUUUAUAUAAAUUUAUUUAAAUAUUUAAUAUAUAAUAUAUAAAUUAUAUGAUAUAGUAAUAACUGUAUUUUAAUUAAAAUAAAAAAUUAUAUUUAAUUGGGAGGAUUUUUAAAUUAAAUAAACUUUAAAUUAAAAUUAUUACAUAAAUAAAUGAAAUAAAGAAUUAUUAUUAGAGUGAUUAAUAAAUUAAUAAAGAAAUAAUUACCUUAGGGAUAACAGCGUAAUAUUUUUAGAUAGAUCGUAUAAAUAAAAAUGAUUGC
RNAcentral lists this ribosomal RNA (263 nucleotides) under Cyphomyrmex rimosus. Its description in RNAcentral is "partial large subunit ribosomal RNA". The record is from RNAcentral. Lineage: Eukaryota; Metazoa; Arthropoda; Insecta; Hymenoptera; Formicidae.